UCUUUUUGGCUUUGAGACCCUUCACCUCUCUGCAGUUAAAGAUGCAGUUGCUUCGCGCCUGGUAAACAUGCUCUCCGCCAGUCUCCACGUCCAUCGCUCUAUUUCGCGUUUCAACUUCUGGCGCGGCCGCCACCGCCCUUGCUGCCUGUCUAAUCGCCGCCCUCGCCGUCCGUUCCGCUUCGCACGCGCUCUACGACCUACUCAGCAGCGCCAAGGUUGAUUGCCUCUGCCUAUGGAACCACUACUUUCCCUUUCAACCGUUUGCCCCUUCUAGUCGAUUCCCCUAUUGUGCCUGUUUCAAAGUCCUCUCGGAUGGCCUCAUUGCUAUCUUGGCCAAUUCCCGCGACCCCUCUCUUCCUGUCACCACCCACAACAACUCCUUUUCCUUCCUCCAAACCGAUACUUACCCUUCUGCUGCUUUGUGCCUAUCAACGGCAACUCUCAGUUCACGCUUGUUACUACGCCACAUAGAGACCGAUGUCGUAGCCUCUCAAUGGCUUCUCGUAUGUAAGAACUGAGGAGGAGUCGGCAGCAUGGGUCGGCCGAAAUCACUCGAAUGUCUGGAGGUCGUCAAACUCAAUCAUCCGCAUGCUGCAGUUUUGGGUAAAAUGGUCAAACUCUGAUCAGUUAUUGAAUUUAUCUUUCUAUUUAAAACUCAGUUACUCAAUUGAAAUUAGUCGUAGCCCUCUUCAAAUAAGUCCCAACUCUUUUAGCAGUCAGAUCCAUUACCGGAAGCUCGAUAAGGAGAUCACUAGGUUCCUCCAGGCAAUGAGACAGACUGCAUGCUCAGAAGAAUAACCUCCAUAAUCUGUAUACGACAUCUCUGAUGUGAGGGAACAAGGACUAUCCAAUGGCUCCAGUGGCUUGAACUCUGUGGCUAAAAGAAAGGAUGACAUUAAGUGAGAGUAUGAGAAAACUCUUGGAGAUUAUGGAAAUGGCCAAAGGAUUCGGGAGGAAAUCAUAAGAAAUUCUGAGGAAGCAUUUUCAGGUUGGGUUUGGAGGAAAACCGUGAAAGUGGUAAUGGCUUUUAUUCAGAAAGCGGCUUGAAUUGACCUUGGCGUUGUUUCUUCUGUCCUGGGGAUUCAUGUUGCUUGUUCAAGUUUAGUAUACAAGCUGGUUAUGCCACAUUCAGAAAUUUCAAACUCCAGUCUAGGAUUAGAUCGGGUCGUCUAUAAAUUGAUUCCCUGGUAAGCUAGAGGCAGGAGUGAAAAAGUAGCGAGAAGAUAGUCGAGUGACGGACUUGUUGGAUCAAGAAAAUUAGUUCUCAGCUUUUGAAAAGAAACCUGAAAAAUAUGUAUGAAGGGAUCCAACACGAGUUUGUCUGAUAUAGUUCGUUUGUAGUAUGUA
Molecule: non-coding RNA, 1347 nt
Organism: Punica granatum (pomegranate)
Lineage: Eukaryota; Viridiplantae; Streptophyta; Magnoliopsida; Myrtales; Lythraceae
Source: RefSeq, a predicted model, not a curated record